This is a long non-coding RNA of Lagopus leucura (white-tailed ptarmigan), 200 nucleotides long. RefSeq lists it as uncharacterized. The transcript is spliced from 3 exons. The record is from RefSeq and is a predicted model, not a curated record. NCBI's taxonomy places the organism in Eukaryota, Metazoa, Chordata, Aves, Galliformes, Phasianidae.
AGCGAUCCAAACACACGUGCCUCAGAGGAAUGAGAGAUCUUGAAACCGUAGGACCCAAUCCAAGUGCUGGUGGUCACAGCUGGAGACUUUAUGAUGUCUUUGAUGGAUUCUGAAGAAGACUGAGUAGAUUUUGGUACAUCUUCAAUCACAUUGGUUGUUGGCACAAACAUUCCCAGCCUAAGCCAGAGAGGAAACCGGAG